Molecule: ribosomal RNA, 739 nt
Filed under: uncultured bacterium
Lineage: Bacteria
Description: bacterial SSU rRNA
Rfam family: Bacterial small subunit ribosomal RNA
Source: RNAcentral
UGGGGAGCAAACGGAUUAGAUACCCCGGUAGUCACGCCGUAAACGAUGUCUACUAGCCGUUGGAGGACUUGAUCCUUUAGUGGCGCAGCUAACGCGAUAAGUAGACCGCCUGGGGAGUACGGUCGCAAGAUUAAAACUCAAAUGAAUUGACGGGGGCCCGCACAAGCGGUGGAGCAUGUGGUUUAAUUCGAAGCAACGCGAAGAACCUUACCUACUCUUGACAUCUAGUGAACUUUUGAGAGAUCAAUUGGUGCCUUCGGGAACACUGAGACAGGUGCUGCAUGGCUGUCGUCAGCUCGUGUUGUGAAAUGUUGGGUUAAGUCCCGUAACGAGCGCAACCCUUGUCCUUAGUUACCAUCAUUAAGUUGGGGACUCUAAGGAGACUGCCGGUGACAAACCGGAGGAAGGCGGGGACGACGUCAAGUCAUCAUGGCCCUUACGAGUAGGGCUACACACGUGCUACAAUGGCAUGUACAAAGGGUUGCCAAGCCGCGAGGUGGAGCUAAUCCCAUAAAGCAUGUCGUAGUCCGGAUUGGAGUCUGCAACUCGACUCCAUGAAGUCGGAAUCGCUAGUAAUCGUGAAUCAGAAUGUCACGGUGAAUACGUUCCCGGGCCUUGUACACACCGCCCGUCACACCAUGGGAGUGGGUUGCUCCAGAAGUAGAUAGCUUAACCUUCGGGAGGGCGUUUACCACGGAGUGAUUCAUGACUGGGGUGAAGUCGUAACAAGGUAACCGUA